AGGAGUGAUCACAAAAAUAGGGAAAAAUGUGAGCAACUUCAAGAUCGGUGACAGGGUGGGCGUGGGCUGCAUUGCAGCAUCGUGCCUUAACUGUGAAUUCUGUAAUGGCUCCCAGGAGAACUACUGCAACGAACUCAGGCUGACCUACAAUGGAGUCUUCUGGGACGGCAGCAUCACCUAUGGUGGCUACUCUAGAAUGUUGGUGGCUGAUAAAAGGUUUGUCGUCCACAUCCCGGAUAGCUUGCCACUGGAUGCAGCAGCUCCCCUUCUAUGUGCCGGAAUCACGGUGUUCAGCCCGAUGAAGCAUCACAACAUGCUUCAACCUGGCAAGAAACUCGGAGUGGUUGGCUUAGGGGGCCUUGGCCAUGUGGCCGUUAAAUUCGGAAAGGCUUUUGGGCUGCACGUUACAGUAAUCAGCACCUCUCCGUCCAAGGAAAUGGAAGCCCGGGUGCGUUU
This 456-nucleotide unclassified non-coding RNA is filed under the name Hevea brasiliensis (rubber tree). Lineage: Eukaryota; Viridiplantae; Streptophyta; Magnoliopsida; Malpighiales; Euphorbiaceae. The record is from RNAcentral.